UACGUAGGGUGCAAGCGUUGUCCGGAAUUAUUGGGCGUAAAGAGCUCGUAGGCGGUUUGUCGCGUCUGCUGUGAAAACUCGGGGCUUAACCCCGGGCCUGCAUUCGAUACGGUCAGACUAGAGUUCGGUAGGGGAGUCUGGAAUUCCUGGUGUAGCGGUGAAAUGCGCAGAUAUCAGGAGGAACACCGGUGGCGAAGGCGGGACUCUGGGCCGAUACUGACGCUGAGGAGCGAAAGCGUGGGGAGCAAACAGG
This 253-nucleotide ribosomal RNA is filed under the name uncultured bacterium. RNAcentral describes it as "partial 16S ribosomal RNA". It matches the Rfam family "Bacterial small subunit ribosomal RNA", at positions 524 to 776 of the family's 1533-position model. The record is from RNAcentral.